Molecule: ribosomal RNA, 461 nt
Filed under: uncultured bacterium
Lineage: Bacteria
Description: bacterial SSU rRNA
Rfam family: Bacterial small subunit ribosomal RNA
Source: RNAcentral
GGACCCGCACAAGCGGUGGAUGAUGUGGAUUAAUUCGAUGCAACGCGAAAAACCUUACCUACCCUUGACAUGGUCGGAAUCCGUGAGAGAUUGCGGAGUGCUCGAAAGAGAACCGGCGCACAGGUGCUGCAUGGCUGUCGUCAGCUCGUGUCGUGAGAUGUUGGGUUAAGUCCCGCAACGAGCGCAACCCUUGUCAUUAGUUGCUACGAAAGGGCACUCUAAUGAGACUGCCGGUGACAAACCGGAGGAAGGUGGGGAUGACGUCAAGUCCUCAUGGCCCUUAUGGGUAGGGCUUCACACGUCAUACAAUGGUACAUACAGAGGGCCGCCAACCCGCGAGGGGGAGCUAAUCCCAGAAAGUGUAUCGUAGUCCGGAUUGCAGUCUGCAACUCGACUGCAUGAAGUUGGAAUCGCUAGUAAUCGCGGAUCAGCAUGUCGCGGUGAAUACGUUCCCGGGUCUU